GUGGCUCGUCUGGGUUCAAGAGAGAAAGAUAAAGGUACUGCGGCAAAGGGUGAGUUUGCUGGAUGUGCACCACAAAGGCCCUGGAGGGUUUGAAGCACAGGGCUGGCUGGCAUGGUGGUGACCGGCAAGUGAGCUGGGUGGAAAUUGUGGAGUUCGGAGUCAGUGCAGGCCAAGAGUUGCCGGCACAAAUGCAGGAACCAGCUGGUUCGUAUUUUUUUUAAUAUUUCCCGCAACACCCACAUGAAGACCAAGUUGAACAUCUGGUGCAUAUGUGAGUGGAUGCCUAGAUACAGCCCAUAGAUGUCCUUUGGUGGGUGGUUCAGACUCUGAGAGCCCAAGGCUCCAGGUUAUGGUCCAUCAUCCAAGGAAAUCAUGUCAGAAACUCAAGGCAGAAGUUGAGGCCACGAAGAAACACAGCUUUUAUAGG
This 427-nucleotide long non-coding RNA is filed under the name Mus pahari (shrew mouse). RNAcentral's name for it is "lncRNA (MGP_PahariEiJ_G0005444.1)". The record is from RNAcentral. Lineage: Eukaryota; Metazoa; Chordata; Mammalia; Rodentia; Muridae.